AGGACGAACGCUGGCGGCGUGCCUAACACAUGCAAGUCGAGCGGAAAGGCCCUUCGGGGUACUCGAGCGGCGAACGGGUGAGUAACACGUGAGCAACCUGCCCUUAGCUUCGGGAUAGCUCCGGGAAACCGGAAUUAAUACCGAAUAUGACCAUGGCCGACAUCAGCCAUGGUGGAAAGUUUUUCGGCUAGGGAUGGACUCGCGGCCUAUCAGCUAGUUGGUGAGGUAACGGCCCACCAAGGCGACGACGGGUAGCCGGCCUGAGAGGGCGACCGGCCACACUGGGACUGAGACACGGCCCAGACUCCUACGGGAGGCAGCAGUGGGGAAUAUUGCGCAAUGGGCGAAAGCCUGACGCAGCGACGCCGCGUGGGGGAUGAAUGCCUUCGGUUGUAAACCCUUUCAGCAGGACGAAGCGAAAGUGACGGUACCUGCAGAAGAAGCGCCGGCUAACUACGUGCCAGCAGCCGC
RNAcentral lists this ribosomal RNA (471 nucleotides) under uncultured bacterium. RNAcentral's name for it is "SSU rRNA". It matches the Rfam family "Bacterial small subunit ribosomal RNA", at positions 26 to 518 of the family's 1533-position model. The record is from RNAcentral.